CCUACGGGAGGCAGCAGUGGGGAAUCUUGCACAAUGGAGGAAACUCUGAUGCAGCGAUGCCGCGUGAGUGAAGAAGGCCUUUGGGUUGUAAAGCUCUUUUGUAGGGGAAGAUAAUGACUGUACCCUAAGAAUAAGGUCCGGCUAACUUCGUGCCAGCAGCCGCGGUAAUACGAAGGGACCUAGCGUAGUUCGGAAUUACUGGGCGUAAAGCGCGCGUAGGCCGUUGAGUUAGUUAAUUGUGAAAUCCCAAAGCUUAACUUUGGAACUGCAAUUAAAACUGCUCGACUAGAGUUUGAUAGAGGAAAGCGGAAUACAUAGUGUAGAGGUGAAAUUCGUAGAUAUUAUGUAGAACACCAGUUGCGAAGGCGGCUUUCUGGAUCAACAAUGACGCUGAGGCGCGAAAGUAUGGGUAGCAAAGAGGAUUAGAUACCCUCGUAGUCCAUACCAUAAACGAUGAUNUNUANAUGUAGUAAUUAUUUACUAUAUCNCANACUACGACAUAGUACAUCCGCCGUCGGGAGGUACGACCGACGAACGUUAAACGUAACAAAGAAGUAGACGGCGUGAGACGUGCCGACGACGACGACGAGGGAGGUAGG
This 599-nucleotide ribosomal RNA is filed under the name uncultured bacterium. Its description in RNAcentral is "bacterial SSU rRNA". The stretch from base 1 to 513 matches the Rfam family "Bacterial small subunit ribosomal RNA", at positions 338 to 873 of the family's 1533-position model. The record is from RNAcentral.